UUAGAGUUUGAUUCUGGCUCAGGAUGAACGCUAGCGGGAGGCUUAACACAUGCAAGUCGAGGGGCAGCACGAUGUAGCAAUACGUUGGUGGCGACCGGCGCACGGGUGAGUAACACGUAUGCAACCUACCCUGUACAGGGGGAUAACCCGGAGAAAUUCGGACUAAUACCGCAUAAUGAUAUUUGAGGGCAUCCUUAGAUAUUUAAAGCUUCGGUGGUACGGGAUGGGCAUGCGGAACAUUAGCUAGUUGGCAGGGUAAUGGCCUACCAAGGCAAUGAUGUUUAGGGGACCUGAGAGGGUGAUCCCCCACACUGGUACUGAGACACGGACCAGACUCCUACGGGAGGCAGCAGUGAGGAAUAUUGGUCAAUGGGCGGAAGCCUGAACCAGCCAUCCCGCGUGCAGGAAGACGGCCCUAUGGGUUGUAAACUGCUUUUCCAGGGGGCGAAACUUUCCGAUGUAUCGGGAUUUGACGGUACCCUGGGAAUAAGCAUCGGCUAACUCCGUGCCAGCAGCCGCGGUAAUACGGAGGAUGCGAGCGUUAUCCGGAUUUAUUGGGUUUAAAGGGUGCGUAGGCGGAUCGAUAAGUCAGUGGUGAAACCCUGCAGCUUAACUGUAGACUUGCCGUUGAUACUGUUGGUCUUGAGUGUGGUCAAGGUAGGCGGAAUGUGUAAUGUAGCGGUGAAAUGCUUAGAUAUUACACAGAACACCGAUUGCGAAGGCAGCUUACUGGGCCAUUACUGACGCUGAUGCACGAAAGCGUGGGGAUCGAACAGGAUUAGAUACCCUGGUAGUCCACGCCGUAAACGAUGGAUACUAGGUGUAGGGGGUAUCGACCCCCCCUGUGCCGGAGUUAACACAAUAAGUAUCCCGCCUGGGGAGUACGGCCGCAAGGUUGAAACCCAAAGGAAUUGACGGGGGCCCGCACAAGCAGCGGAGCAUGUGGUUUAAUUCGAAGCAACGCGAAGAACCUUACCAAGACUUGACAUCCCCUGACAGCUGUUGAAAGGCAGUUUCCCUUCGGGGCAGGGAGACAGGUGGUGCAUGGUUGUCGUCAGCUCGUGUCGUGAGAUGUUGGGUUAAGUCCCGCAACGAGCGCAACCCUUGUCUUUAAUUGCCAUCAUUCAGUUGGGCACUUUAAAGAGACUGCCGGCGUUAAACCGGAGGAAGGUGGGGAUGACGUCAAGUCCUCAUGGCCUUUAUGCCCAGGGCUACACACGUGCUACAAUGGGUGGUACAAAGAGCAGCCAACUCGCGAGAGUGAGCAAAUCUCAAAAAGCCAUCCUCAGUUCGGAUUGGAGUCUGCAACUCGACUCCAUGAAGUCGGAAUCGCUAGUAAUCGCGGAUCAGCAUGCCGCGGUGAAUACGUUCCCGGGCCUUGCACUCACCGCCCGUCAAG
This 1399-nucleotide ribosomal RNA is filed under the name uncultured bacterium. Its description in RNAcentral is "bacterial SSU rRNA". It matches the Rfam family "Bacterial small subunit ribosomal RNA". The record is from RNAcentral.